CCCCCCCCCCCCCCCCCUUUCCCAGCCCUGAUUUGGGGGCAGAACCCCAAAAUCCAUCACUUUGAGUGGGGUUUCGGGGCGCCUCAACCCUGGGGCGUUGGGGGUUAACGAGGCCUCGUUUCCAGAUGGGCUCAUUAAGACAGUAUUAAUUAACCCCGUUGGCUUUUAGGGUCCCUCCCGGACUGCUGAGCUCAGCGCUUUCAUCGCCUCCCUUUGGCCCCAAAUUCUCCAUUUUUCAGCCCAAAAUGCAGCGGCCCCAAAGAGCCCCAAUGGGGGUCAACUCCAAAGAUCCCCCAUUUUGGGACCCCACCCCCAAAAGGUCCCCCAAUUUAGGGUCAGCCCCAUAAGGUCUCAGUUUGGGGUCAAGCCCUGAAGAUCCCCUAAAUGGGGUCAGCCCCAAAGACACCCCAAUUUGGGGUCAGCCCCCAAACAUCUCCCGAUUGGAGUUGGCCCCAAAGCUCCCCCGAUGUGGGGCCCACCUGGAAGCCCCCCGAUUUGGGGUCGACCCCAAAAGAUCCCCCAAUUUGGGGGGUCAGCCCCAGAAGACCCUCAACUGGAGUUGGCCCCAAAGCUCCCCCAGUUGGAACCCACGUGGAAGACCCCCGAUUUGGGGUCCGUCCCCAAAGACCCCCCCCUAUUUUUUGGGGUCAGCCCCGAGGUUUCCCCUCGGCCCCAUUGGACGUCGCGACCCUUCAGUGCCUCUUUGAACCAAAAGGGCUCCGGGAGCCCAAAAAUCUCAGGGAAAAACGCCUGCGGGGACCCAAAUUUGGGGCCAAAAAGGGGGGAUUUGGGGCUAAAAGGGAGGAAUUUGGGGCUAAAAAGGGGGGAUUGGGGGCCAGAAAGGGGGGAUUUGGGGCCGCAAAUGGGGCAGAAAAAGGGCAGUUUGGGGAAAGCUGGGAGAAUUUGGGGGAAAAUGGGCCCCAAAUGGGGGUUGGGAUGGGGGUAACGGUGGCGCUGAGGCUCCCAAUGAGCGAUGUGCCCCAAAUGGAGCGUCUUAACCGCUUAAUUAACGAGCAAUUAAGUGGCCGGGGGGGGGGGGGGGGGGGGGUUCUCUUUUAACCCUUUUUCUUUUUUUUU
Molecule: long non-coding RNA, 1077 nt
Filed under: Gallus gallus (chicken)
Lineage: Eukaryota; Metazoa; Chordata; Aves; Galliformes; Phasianidae
Source: RNAcentral